AGAGUUUGAUCCUGGCUCAGGAUGAACGCUAGCUACAGGCUUAACACAUGCAAGUCGAGGGGCGAGCGGGAUUGAAGCUUGCUUCAAUUGCCGGCGACCGGCGCACGGGUGAGUAACGCGUAUCCAACCUUCCGUACACUCAGGGAGUAGCCUUUCGAAGAAAGAUUAAUACCUGAUGGUAUGAUGAAAUUGCAUGAUAGCAUCAUUAAGAUUUAUCGGUGUACGAUGGGGAUGCGUUCCAUUAGGUAGUAGGCGGGGUAACGGCCACCUAGCCUACGAUGGAUAGGGGUUCUGAGAGGAAGGUCCCCCACAUUGGAACUGAGACACGGUCCAAACUCCUACGGGAGCA
RNAcentral lists this ribosomal RNA (349 nucleotides) under uncultured bacterium. RNAcentral describes it as "bacterial SSU rRNA". It matches the Rfam family "Bacterial small subunit ribosomal RNA", at positions 8 to 349 of the family's 1533-position model. The record is from RNAcentral.